RNAcentral lists this transfer RNA (72 nucleotides) under Candidatus Roizmanbacteria bacterium CG_4_9_14_3_um_filter_33_18. RNAcentral's name for it is "tRNA-Pro". It matches the Rfam family "tRNA". Rfam says of the family: Transfer RNA (tRNA) molecules are approximately 80 nucleotides in length. Their secondary structure includes four short double-helical elements and three loops (D, anti-codon, and T loops). Further hydrogen bonds mediate the characteristic L-shaped molecular structure. tRNAs have two regions of fundamental functional importance: the anti-codon, which is responsible for specific mRNA codon recognition, and the 3' end, to which the tRNAs corresponding amino acid is attached (by aminoacyl-tRNA synthetases). tRNAs cope with the degeneracy of the genetic code in two manners: having more than one tRNA (with a specific anti-codon) for a particular amino acid; and 'wobble' base-pairing, i.e. permitting non-standard base-pairing at the 3rd anti-codon position. The record is from RNAcentral. Lineage: Bacteria; Candidatus Roizmaniibacteriota. RNAcentral also lists the same sequence under 3 other names.
CGGGGUGUAGUUCAUCGGUAGAAUUUUCGGUUCGGGACCGAAAGGCAGUGGGUUCAAUUCCCGCCACCCCGA